This 370-nucleotide ribosomal RNA is filed under the name uncultured bacterium. Its description in RNAcentral is "bacterial SSU rRNA". It matches the Rfam family "Bacterial small subunit ribosomal RNA", at positions 525 to 896 of the family's 1533-position model. The record is from RNAcentral.
ACGUAGGGGGCAAGCGUUAUCCGGAAUUACUGGGUGUAAAGGGAGCGUAGGCGGCAUGUCAAGCCAGAUGUGAAAGCCCGGGGCUUAACCCCGCGGAUUGCAUUUGGAACUGGCAAGCUAGAGUACAGGAGAGGAAAGCGGAAUUCCUAGUGUAGCGGUGAAAUGCGUAGAUAUUAGGAAGAACACCAGUGGCGAAGGCGGCUUUCUGGACUGAAACUGACGCUGAGGCUCGAAAGCGUGGGGAGCAAACAGGAUUAGAUACCCUGGUAGUCCACGCCGUAAACGAUGAGUGCUAGGUGUUGGGGAGGAAUCCUCGGUGCCGCAGCAAACGCAAUAAGCACUCCACCUGGGGAGUACGACCGCAAGGUUG